RNAcentral lists this ribosomal RNA (492 nucleotides) under uncultured bacterium. RNAcentral describes it as "partial 16S ribosomal RNA". It matches the Rfam family "Bacterial small subunit ribosomal RNA", at positions 29 to 507 of the family's 1533-position model. The record is from RNAcentral.
AGUGAACGCUGGCGGUAGGCCUAACACAUGCAAGUCGAACGGCAGCACAGUAAGAGCUUGCUCUUACUGGUGGCGAGUGGCGGACGGGUGAGGAAUACAUCGGAAUCUACUUUUUCGUGGGGGAUAACGUAGGGAAACUUCCGCUAAUACCGCAUACGACCUACGGGUGAAAGCAGGGGAUCUUCGGACCUUGCGCGAUUGAAUUAGCCGAUGUCGGAUUAGCUAGUUGGCGGGGUAAAGGCCCACCAAGGCGACGAUCCGUAGCUGGUCUGAGAGGAUGAUCAGCCACACUGGAACUGAGACACGGUCCAGACUCCUACGGGAGGCAGCAGUGGGGAAUAUUGGACAAUGGGCGAAAGCCUGAUCCAGCCAUACCGCGUGGGUGAAGAAGGCCUUCGGGUUGUAAAGCCCUUUUGUUGGGAAAGAAAAGCAGCAGGUGAAUACCCCGCUGUUCUGACGGUACCCAAAGAAUAAGCACCGGCUAACUUCGUG